Long non-coding RNA from Phyllostomus hastatus (greater spear-nosed bat), 8983 nucleotides. RefSeq lists it as uncharacterized. The record is from RefSeq and is a predicted model, not a curated record. The transcript has 3 exons. Lineage: Eukaryota; Metazoa; Chordata; Mammalia; Chiroptera; Phyllostomidae.
AGCCGCACAGCGUCCGGAGUCUGCGGGGUCUGGGGUGCUGCGGCUGCCCUCAGGGCCCCGGAACCCCCAGCCAGAGCUGCUGCUUUACUUAGAGUAUCACAAGCGAAGCUUUGAGGCUCAGGAGAGGGCGCCGCUCCGCCGGCCCACUCCCUGCACAUAGCAGUGCCCAGGUGCUGCUGCUGCUCGGCUGGGGGCCAUACUCGGAGAACUGCCCUGUAAACCCUAAGAAGGCCUGUCAGUCUGUCUUGCUCUCCAAGGCAUCCCAGCGAGCACCGAGCCUGGUUCUGGCAGAUGCAAGGAGUCCACCGAGAGUUGUUGAAUGAACACUUGGGCCUGAGGAAGUGGGAGGAGUCCUGGCUCUUCAGCAGCAUCAAGAAAGGCAAAGAGAACACUCCAUCUCCAAGGUAACAGGUCAUCUGUGCGCGCCAAGGGGAGUGAGUAAACCAAGGAAAUGGACUUGGCGAUGUGAGGAUUUCGUGGCUGCGUGAGGAAAAGAAGAACCGGACUGCGGAUUGCGCAAGUCCACACUCGACCCCGGCUGCCCUUGCAAAGCUGACCACUCCAGCACGCAUUCCAACGGGCUGAGGUCGCACGGCAGUCGGUCGGCUGUGUUUUCCUCUUUGCUCUUAGUAAUGGAAUUUUUUUGGUUAGAGAAGCAAGCUAAACACUACGUUUCUUUGCCUUCCUUGCAGCUCAGUACGACAAAGUGAUUAAGUGAUGACAAAGAGCUGUACGUGUUCUUGAGGCAGAGCCCAGGCGUUAUCUUUGUGUGACUUAGGAAAAACAGCCAUUUCUCAACAGACUAUCCAAAAAUUCGCCUAAUAUGCUGCCUUUGUUACAAGACACCUCCUUGCCAGCUGCUGGAAAGUAGCUGUAAGUAAAAAUACAAUGAUGUUGACGACGUGAAUGGUGAUGAUGGAGAAAGUAAAGUGGAGUAAGCAUGGCUAAGGGAGUCGCUAAAGUGGAGUCAGGAGGUCACUGAGGAAACGGAGCCUCUAGACGUCCAGUUCCUGGAACUAUUGUUGAGUUCUGACCUUACUGUAAACUCAACCCUGACCUAUUGCCAAACUCAGCUCAAGGCUGGACAGCAUACAUCUUGGAUCCACGACUGCUCCACGGACAUGUAUGGACUUGACUUCCUCCUCAUCACGGUCUCCAGACUGUCUGCACUCUUCACCUCGAAAGGAAUCCAUUUCCACAACCAGCACCCUCCUCCGUUUACAUAAUGGGCCUAACCAAUCCCAGCUGGCCUAGCCAACGUCCCUCAGUUUCGUGGAGGACCAAAAUGAGAACGGCUCUUAGGACUUCGCCCUUUAUAAACCCUUUCUUUUUUCCCUUUGGAACCCAAUUUAGGCUGUUACAUAAAUCUGUGCCCUGGAUUGCCGUUCCUCCUUUGCUCAGAUAAACACCUUUUAUCCUUUAUCACAGCCUGUGCUUUUAUUUGUUAAGUUGGCGGUGGCAACCUCUGCCGUCAUCCAGUGUGCAUCCUGCACAGCAGCAUGUGGGCCCUGCAUGUGUGUGGAAGACUAUGAAAGAACGCUGACUCAGCUGGGGAGCAGGCACCUUCUGCCCUUCCCCUUCCUGCUUUCUGGGAUGCAGACAUGAUGGCUGGACUCCGGUAGCCACUUUGGACCAUGAAGUGAUCUGGAGGAUAGAAGUCCUUGCUAGAAUGAUGAUGGAGAAAGACAGAAGGAGCUUGGGUUCACUGUGGAGCCACCAGCCCAGGCCUGGACUAUUCAAACUCCCUUUGCAUGAUAGCAAAAUAACCUUCUAUAUUGUUUAAGCCACUAUCAUUUUGAGUUUUCUAUUCUAGAAAGCUUAACAUAACCCUAGCUAAUUGAGAAAGUCUGGGGGAAAAGAAAAUAUAGCAAAUCCCUCAGUGGACCAGCUCUCAAGGAUAAAUGCUUGGUCUUGAACAUUUUCAACGUCAUAAUAAUGUUCCAUCUCUGAGACACUUUAUGAUAAAUGAACACUUUCUUACUGAGGACAGAAAAGAGGGUGGUCCCACUUGGCCGCAAGUACUCAGACUUGGAUGAAAAGCAAUUCUGUAAUACCCAUAAAUGGAAAAUACAGAUGGCCUUCGACGCAAUUCUAGUUCUGGGAAUUUCUCUCCUUAAAAUCCUGAAUUUACAUUUACAUAAAAUAUUAUGGGGAUAAGAAUAUUCCCUGCUUUUGUUUUUCUUUUGUAAAAGCCGAAGAUUCGGAACAACCCGCACGCCCACCACCUGGGGACUGCAGAAAUAAGCGGUGCCCUAGUGCUCCAGGGAAUGCUGCACCGGUGAAAACGGGGGCCGAUCUAUAUGCCGACGUGCACACGUCUCUGGGACGCAUGGUAAAGCGACAACAGCGGCGUGCAGAGAAGUGUGUGGGAUUAGUGGCCGCCAGAGGCCCCACGUCCCUAGGACAGGAUUUCCCUGCCGUUCACCCAGACGCUCACAACAGUGGCCGCCUGCAAGGAGGGAAUAGACUUUCACAGAAUAAGCUAAAAAAAAAAAUCACUUUUACCAAAUGCAUGCACCAUCAGCUCAAAAACAGAAUUACGCAUGUUUAAAAAAUGGGCGAAACCACAAUGGUGACAGACCCUGUGAUUCCACUUCAGCGGUGGCUCAGCCGCCCUCACAGUCCCCAAGCUGCACAGAACACGCCUGAGCGGCUGCGGCCGGGACGCCUUCUGUGUGAUUUUCUAGUGGCCAAGAAACGCUUGGGACAAAGGUUAAUGGAGGAACAUGUGGGCAUCUGGGGGCCAGAGGCCUGGUGGCACUGUGACAAUGGGUAAACAAAGCUGGUGAGGCUGCCAGAGCAAUAGGAGCUGCCAGAGGACCUGUGACCAAGUGGGGCCCCCCUUUCUGUGAAAGUGGCUCCUCCCACUGCUAGCUGUGUGCAGGCAGCAGCCGUGUGUGUCUCUAGCCCAGACCUCCUCCAAGCUGCAGGCCCGUAUGUCCAUCUGCCAACUCCACUCUUCCUCGUGUCUCCAAAUGAGGAGACACGAGCGUGACAGCCCUGUCACGCUCGGGACAGUGUGGAGGAUCCCGCCCCCUGCCCUGCCGGCUGCCACAGUCCUGACUGUGACUCAGACUCACAUGAGUGUGAGAACCUCAAGCUCCUUCUGGGGAGAGCCUGCUUGGGGGCAGAGGGAGGGAGGGAAGCCGUGGCACUGCUGGGUUGGUCGGAGAGAAAGGUGGGCGCAGGGGGUCUGUGUGCUUCCUCCGGCUCGGACCCCUCCUCGCCCUUGCUGGGGAAGGUAAAAUGAACAUCCAGCAAAGGGACAAACAGAUGGCUCCCAUCCAUCCCGGGGCCAGCCUGCCAGGGCAACGCAGAAAGGGACGUUUCUGCCACCAGUGCUUUGGCACUGUUGACAGCCACUGAGGCCCUGGGGCUCCCGGGGCUUCCCAGAAGUGAGUCCUCAAAGUCUCAGGCCCACGCACUGGAGCAGAGCCCACUCUGGGUGGCAGGCUGGCCCACCACGGAUGGGGGGCGGGGAACUCUGGGUGGGGGCACUCCCUGACCUGCGCAGCUCAGCCCUCUGCCAGCCUCUGCACGCACAGCCACUUCCCCCGCACCCCAGUGGCCCAUCCGGGAUGCGCCGUGGGGCGAGGCUGCAUGCAGGGGAGCUGGGCUGAGCAGAAGGCUCUGCACCAACGGGGGCCUUGUUUAUCGCCCUGCGGGACCUGGAGCCCAGCCCUGGGAGCCCUGGCUGGCACCAGCACCAGGGCAAAGGGAAAAUGUGGUUUAAAGGCAAAGAGGCAGGGGAGUAAAAGAAGUAAAAGCAGUGUGAGGGGGCAGCCUUCUUGGGGGAGCCCUGUUCUGGGGCCUGCGUGAAGGGACAUCACCACCUGCCUCGGAGGGACUCCGCCCUGUCCCCCCGACCCUCCAUAUGCUGUAUUGACAGAAAGGAUGGAAUCUGGGCCUGCUGGCCUGAUGAGACCAUUCAGGGAGUCAGGAGCCAGGCUGCUGGGUGGUCAGGCACUAACCGGCUACUUUGAACCGUGGCGCUGCCCCUUGCUGGCCACGUAACCUCAGGGCAGCGACUCACUGCCCUCCCCUAGGCAUCAGUCUCCCCAUCUGUAAGAUGGGAGAAUGAAGGACCUCCCUUAGAGAGCUGGGAGGAUUUGACGAGUUAACUCAGGUACAGUGGCCAGCACAUGGCACACUAAAGGGGGCAGGGGACCUAGUCUGAAGCUGAUGGGACCUUCCCUGAGGAAGUGCCAUCUGCCCCAAGAUGGGAAGAUACAUGGUGAUCCUCGUGAGAGCGCAGGGCAGAGGGUCCCAGUGUGGCUGGUAGGAGAAGUGUGAGGAAGGGAGCAUGGCCUGGGAUAAAGAGAGACACCCCUGAGCUGGGGCCCCCUCCACGCCCAUUUGCACGACCUGCCAGCCUUGCGUUAUGUAUCACAAGGAGGGACCAGGCUCUCCCCACGCAGAAGCGGCCGUGUGCCCCUGGUCGGGGAGUUCCAUGGGAAGUCCUAUUCCAGCGCACCUUCAGCCAAUUAAAAUAAGAGCUGGCAAGUUUUCCACUGGUUCUAAGUUACCGGAGGAAAAAAACCCAAGUGGAACACAGUUCACUACCUAUGAGAAAAACGCAUGACCUUCUGCAGAAUUUCAGCGCUUGCCAACUCUCUAUUUGAGUAGAGAGAGACUCCGGUUUCAGGGGAGAAUAGGAGCGGGCCAUGUAAUACGCCUACUUGAUUCCUUUCACACCAUUAACCACACUGCCCCGCCCCCCUCCGCCCAGGUGGGCUAGUCCUCAGCAGCGAGCUCCCCAUCUGGAAGCUUCCUCAAUAGUGUGUAACAGGAUCACUGUUUGGCGGGCCCUGGCUGAGUAACCUGAGCCGCUUUCUUGUCUAGGACACUGUGGAAGGGCCGGUGCUUCACGGGAACGACCCUGAAGACAAGGGCCGGCAUUUUGAGGAAUGUUCUGGGUGGCUGGUAACCUGGCGAGGCUGACCGGCUUGCAGCAAGGUCUAUGCUGCGAAAAGGAGGAAGUCACGAAAGGCUGAGGUGCUUGUGGAGUUCAACCAAAGGUCCUGGAGCGGCUCUGAAAUGAAGAUGCGCCCUCUUGACAGAGUAUGACCGUGACCUUGGGAGGAGCCCCGCCCAAGGGCAGGAGGCACAGACCACGCAACGGGCUGGGGGUGGGGCUUCCCCCACCUGGUGUGUGGGCCUGCCUCUCUGGCUGCCUCCCAGGACCACGGUGUCCACAGGCAGAAAAACCAGAAAGCAGGAAAGGAUCUAUCCAUCUCGGCUAGAGACUUCACGGGGUUAAGCACGCACCAAACUGUUUCUCUUACUUUCCAAAAGGCCCACGAGUUUCCAGUUGUAACAGAAGAGGAAUGCACCAAAAAGUCAUCACUUUGUGUAAUGAAGGUCACUCAUUCCACAGGGAAAGGCAAGUCCCAGGCUGAGAUGCCGGGGGCACCCUGAGGUGCUGGCCCUUGGGGCAGGGUGGAGAGCCCUCUGCCUGGCUCUCUGAUGCCCCAGAGGCACUUCGGCCUCCUGCCCAGGUCAUCAGCUCCCUGCCACCCUCACAGGCUCACAGUGGGCCGGAGCCGGGCUCAGGCCAGCCAGGCGGGCCCAUGGCGGGGACACUCAACACCUUCCAGGGCGUCACAUGUGUCUGGCACCACAGCCUCCCCUGAGGGGAACCAGAGGAAUCCUUGGACUGUGACACGAGGCUGAUGACACUGAACACAUCUUCUCGUGUGUGCGCCACCAUAACCCCGAGGAGGAGGGAGUGUUUUUCCCAUCUGGAGAGAUUUAAAAACGAAGUUCCGAGAGGCUAAGGAGUUUGCUCGAGUUCACCCGCCUCGUAAAAGCCAAGAAAACUUCGGAAAAACUUCUGUGUUCCUGUCUGGGGGUGAGGCCUGUGGCCCUCCUCUUUGGGUUGGCUAGAGAAUCUUCUGGGAAGUCUCUGAGCUCCUCAGAGAUAAUGCUUUUCCCCCCAUGCAAGCACUUGCCCUUGGGCCUCGGAGAGCCCAGCAGGCGAGGCUUUGCGGCGCCCGGACCGUGCACGAAGUGGGCUCCUCGUGAGAACUGUGCCUGCCCGCCGGGCAACAAAGGUCGAAGGCAGACAGGGGACCGAUGGGCAUGAAGACUGCACGCCGGGCCGUCUGGGGGACGGCUGUAGGGGGGACUCCAGAGAGUGAAAGUGGCGCGGUGGGGCGAGAAAGGAUGAACUAUGACCCGCCCCCCAGAAAGACAAACAGACCUCCACGGUCGUGGAGGCCGCUUCCCUUUGAACUGGGUUUGCACAACCGUGUGUUUAGGUAUGCCGCCGACCCUUGGACCAGGUGGGACGGGGGCAGCGACACCUCGCGCAGCUGAAAAUCCACACACAACUCUGACUCCUCCUAGCCUCUCACGCCUACGGCUGACCGGAAGCCUUGUGGAAACAAACGGUUGAAGAACGCAUAUUUUGUUUUUUAUGUGUUAUCUACUGCAUUCUUACACUAAAGUAAGCCAGAGAAAAGAAAAUGUUAUUCAGAAAAUCUAAAAGUUCGUCUGCGAGUCUUCUCAAAUUGUCACAGGUCUCCCCCAAUUUUUCCAGUAUAUUUAUGGAAACAGACUCAUGGAUAAGUGGACCUGCCCAGUUCAACCCCGUGUUGUUCAAGGGUCAACUGUGUAACCGGGGCUAGGACCGCGCCAUUCUACCCUUGUGACCAGGAGCUCCUCCUGGCACCCACCACUCCCCCCUUCUCAGGGAAAGGGGUGGCUGGAUACUUGGCAAAGCCUGGGUUCCCUCUUGGGGUAACUACUGGGGUGCCUGCUCCACCUCAGCCUAAAGCGUGGGGCCUAGGCCCAGAACACCCACAGGCAGCCCACCCACCAGUGACCCCAGGAGGCCAGCUGGGCCCGGGCUCUCUGUCUGAGGUUUGCCCCCUGCACCCUGGGGCCAGGGCCUGGGCUCUAUUUCAGCUGCCUGCGGUGGACCUGGACACGCUGCAGGCCCACCCGGGCCCCAUCGACGGACCGCUCCCCGCCUACAAAAUGCCCUCCCCGAAGACCCCGUUGGGCUUCUCAAGCACAGAACCAUCACACAUCAGAGCUGCAGAGAGUCCCGCAGAUCGGAGAGCCCGAGCUCGUCCUUGUGUGGGUGGGUGAGAGCCCGGGAGGGUGACGUGAAGGGCAGAGCUGGGACGUGAGCCGCGUCCGCCUUCUCUGCCAGUUCUCCUUCCGCACCAUUGUAUCACCUCUCCAAGGGAGGAGUCCCUAACGAUGGGGUCUGGGCCCUGUCAGAGGUGGGUGUGAGCACGAGGUCCCACGAGCCCCGCGGUCACCACGCGCCUGCUCUGUGCCCGCUCCUGCCGCCGUGGGUGCGCUCUGGGCUAUUCAGCGGUGGCCACCAGCUCACGUUUAGCUCCUCCAUAUUUUGUUAACUGGGCCAUGGUCCAUGUCUGUGCGUUUUGAAGAAAUGGAUUCUGGGUAGCUCCUGCCUGCCCACCUCGGGCUGGCCAGGGUGCUGGGAGGGGAGAGUCUCUAAGUGCAGGCGUGUGGGUGGGAGGGGGCCCUGGUCACGUGGGGGCUCCCUGUGCGCUCCGAUUGGUGCUGGGUUUAGACGUCAGACACGCACCAGGACGCCGCAGGAGGAGGUGGGGAGCGGCGCUCCGCCUCCUCCAGUGGCCAGGUGCCCUUUCUCUAAAGGUCCUUCUACCCGAGGACAGUCACGUCCCAUAAACGACAUCCACUCCCGUAAGUCUGUCCAACCAGGGUGCUCGAGGUACAGCGAGCGCCAGGUGGGAUCACACCGACGGGCGGGACUGGAGCAGAUGGCUUCGAGGUUCCCCUGGCUACGCCGUGGCCCUCCCAGGUGUGGACAUUUGGGGAAGAAACACCGUAUGCUGAUUGUCCCGGAGCCCUUUGCUGAAUCAGGCCCCGUGGGGCCAGGGAAAGCUCCCCACAAGUUCCCCCAAGCCCAGAGUCCCUAAAGGAAGUGACCAGGGCACCGAAGAGGAUGGUACUUUCUGGGGCAGCGUCAGGGGGGUUUCUCGAAAAAAUGUUUGUUUUAAACCACACUGAGUUCAGAGGAGGCUGCAGUGGCCCAGAAUCAGGCAUAAAUCCCAGUGUCCUCAACCGCUCCCCAUAACAGCUCAUAAAUCUGGGCAAAGGCGCCUCCCUGGGAGCUGAGAUGCCAAGGACCUAGGCUUCCUUGCCUCCUGCCCUCCCCCAGAGCUGCCAGGGCGGAGCCGGAGGGUCAGGGAUGGGAGAGGGUGUCUGUCCAUCCUGGCGCCAGGGGUAGGUAGAGGUUUGGGGGAGUCUGAAGUUUAUGCACUGGAGGGGAGGGGAGGGCGGUGGAAGAGGGGACGCAGCUUGAAGCAAAAAGUCGUCACGAUUAGGGUUUCAGCAUUGCUAGAGCCCCCACCGUCCAACUCCCCGAGGCGGCUUCAGAAGGGGCGGGGCACACGAGGGGCCGGAGCCAAGUUCCACAGCUUCGGGGUCAGUGCCCCCCUGCCAGGGCGGGGGGCUGGGCUGGCAGGGCCGAGUGGGCUGGCGGGUCCUCCCGAGAGGAGAGCAAGAGGCAGGAGAGGGAAAAACCCGGCAGCGGGCAGAGAUGGCAAGAGAGCUCAUCGCAACUAGAAGACGCGAGAUAGGCGGUAGGAUUUGGGGGCAAGCACGUGCGUGGCACUGCGGAGUUCAGACGCAACCCUGGAAUCGCUACUCCCCGGGACAGCCCGACGAGGGACCGUGUCCAGCGGGUCAGGGCCACGGAAGUCGCUGCCUGGCCUUGGAGCCGAAAGGGGGGCUGGGUGCCAGGCGCGGGCACGCGAGGGCCCAGCAUCUAGGACGCAGCUGAGGGUGGGGAGCGCAGGCGGCGCCCGACACCAGUGGGUGCGGAGGCGGGUCCGCAAGUCUUACUGGAGCCCCAGCCCGCGGGGCGGCGCGGCCCCACAGAGCCCCCCGCCCGCGGCCACCAGGCUCGGUCACCCUCUGGCACCGCCCGAUCCCGCCCUGCUGAGCCCCCCUGGCGAGGGCUCCCUGGCCGCAGGGCCCC